UAGGGAAUCUUCCGCAAUGGACGAAAGUCUGACGGAGCNACGCCACGUGAGUGAUGAAGGUNNUCGGAUCGUAAAACUCUGUUGUUAGGGAAGAACAAGUACNAGAGUNACUNCUGGUGCCUNGACGGUACCUNACCAGAAAGCCACGGCUAACUACGUGCCAGCAGCCGCGGUAAUACGUAGGUGGCNAGCGUUNUCCGGAAUUAUUGGGCGUNAAGCGCGCGCAGGCGGUCCUNNNAGUCUNAUGUGAAAGCUCACGGCUNAACCGUGGAGGGUCAUUGGAAACUGGGGNACUNGAGUGCAGAAGAGAAGAGUGGAAUUCCACGUGUAGCGGUGAAAUGCGUAGAGAUGUGGAGGAACACCAGUGGCGAAGGCGACUNUNUGCUCUGUAACUGACGCUGAGGCGCGAAAGCGUGGGGAGCAAACAGGAUUAGAUACCCUNGUAGUCCACGCCGUNAACGAUGAGUGCUNAGUGUUAGAGGGUUUCCGCCCNNUAGUGCUGCAGCAAACGCAUUAAGCACUCCGCCUGGGGAGUACGG
Molecule: ribosomal RNA, 539 nt
Filed under: uncultured Bacillus sp.
Lineage: Bacteria; Bacillati; Bacillota; Bacilli; Caryophanales; Bacillaceae
Description: partial 16S ribosomal RNA
Rfam family: Bacterial small subunit ribosomal RNA
Source: RNAcentral